ACCGGCGAUACCCGAAUGGGGAAACCCAGUGUGAUUCGUCACACUAUCAUUAACUGAAUCCAUAGGUUAAUGAGGCGAACCGGGGGAACUGAAACAUCUAAGUACCCCGAGGAAAAGAAAUCAACCGAGAUUCCCCCAGUAGCGGCGAGCGAACGGGGAGGAGCCCAGAGCCUGAAUCAGCAUGUGUGUUAGUGGAAGCGUCUGGAAAGGCGCGCGAUACAGGGUGACAGCCCCGUACACAAAAGCGCAUGUGCUGUGAGCUCGAUGAGUAGGGCGGGACACGUGGUAUCCUGUCUGAAUAUGGGGGGACCAUCCUCCAAGGCUAAAUACUCCUGACUGACCGAUAGUGAACCAGUACCGUGAGGGAAAGGCGAAAAGAACCCCGGCGAGGGGAGUGAAAAAGAACCUGAAACCG
RNAcentral lists this ribosomal RNA (415 nucleotides) under Salmonella enterica. Its description in RNAcentral is "partial 23S ribosomal RNA". It matches the Rfam family "Bacterial large subunit ribosomal RNA", at positions 103 to 558 of the family's 2925-position model. Lineage: Bacteria; Pseudomonadati; Pseudomonadota; Gammaproteobacteria; Enterobacterales; Enterobacteriaceae. The record is from RNAcentral.